RNAcentral lists this long non-coding RNA (253 nucleotides) under Anser brachyrhynchus (Pink-footed goose). Its description in RNAcentral is "lncRNA (ENSABRG00000016508.1)". Lineage: Eukaryota; Metazoa; Chordata; Aves; Anseriformes; Anatidae. The record is from RNAcentral.
CUUAUUAAAGGCAGAAAUGAAACAGAAAAAGAAGUGUUUUACUGCUCAGCUGCCAAGGAGUGAAGAGAAGUGGAUGCCCUGACAUAGAAUAUUUAACCUGGAAAUAUUCGUAUUCAGGAGGACAUUCCUAAGUAGCUAAAAAGGCAAAAUGACAUACUCUGAUUUAGAAGGACUAAAUGCUAGGGACAACUAAGCUAUGUCAGAACAUUACAGCAAUUGUUCACAUGGAUUAGCCAAAGUAAUUUGAUAUCUU